UGUGGUUAGCGGUGAAAUGCCAAUCGAACUCGGAGAUAGCUGGUUCUCCUCGAAACAGUUUUAGGACUGGCGUCGUGUCGUAACAUACGGGGGUAGAGCUCUGUAAAGGACUGGGGCGGGCAACUGUACCCACCCUUAACAAACUACGAAUACCGUAUGCGGAAUCACGGCAGUUAGAACGGCGGAGCUAAGUUCGUCGCUCGAAAGGGAAACAGCCCAGACCAUCAUCUAAGGUCCCUAAAUUAACGUUCAGUGGGAAACAAGGUGAGAUUUCUUAAACAGCUAGGAUGUUGGCUUAGAAGCAGCCAUUCAUUUAAAGAGUGCGUAACAGCUCACUAGUCAAGAGAUCUUGCGUGGAAAAUGUAACGGGGCUAAAACGUUAUACCGAAGAUAUGGGUCUAUACAUUAGUAUGGGCGGUAGAGGAGCGUUCCUAUCAGCAGUGAAGUCGAAUCGGAAGGUUCGGUGGAGCGGUAGGAAGUGAGAAUGCUGGAAUGAGUAACCAUAAGAGAGGUGAGAAUCCUCUCGGCCGUAAGAGCAAGGUUUCCUGAGCUAUGGUAAUCAUCUCAGGGUUAGUCGGGCCUAAGCCGAGGCGCAGAGCGUAGGCGAUGGACAUCAGGUUAAUAUUCCUGAACCGGUUAAGUUUUGUACACUGUUCACGGGGAAGUAAUCGAAGCGGAUUCAUGGUUUAUCCGUCCAACCGAGCGGGAACGCAAAGGGAGUGAAAGUGAUUCUUCGGAGUCGCGAUUUUGGUGAAAGCCCUGGCUAGAAAAGCAGGUGUACGCGUGGACUUAGCCGCCCGUACCGCAAACCAACACAGGUGCUCGAGUCGAGUAGACUCAGGCUUACGAGUGAACCUUCGCUAAGGAACUCGGCAAUACAGCGACCGUAACUUCGGGAUAAGGUCUGCCCCCACUUCGGUGGAUAUCAGCCGCGUUCACUCAGUGAAUAAUAGGUUAAAGAGUACAUUUUUAAUCACAAAACGAAUUUUCUGAGACACGAGCAAACAAAUUGCUCUUUGAACGCGAACCUCUUGUAUCUAACGAUGUGGGGGCCGCAGCAAAAGAGCCCACGGAACUGUUUAUCAAAAACACAGGUCUCUGCUAACACGAAAGUGGAUGUAUAGGGGCUGACUCCUGCCCGGUGCCGGAAGGUUAAGGGGAGUGCUUCACGGUACAAACUGAAGCCCCGGUGAACGGCGGCGGUAACUAUAACCGUCCUAAGGUAGCGAAAUUCCUUGUCAGGUAAGUUCUGACCCGCACGAAUGGAGUAAUCAUGUGGGCACUGUCUCAGCGAAGGACUCGGUGAAAGUGCAUUGGCGGUAAAGAUGCCGUCUGUCCGUACCAGGACGAAAAGACCCCAUGGAGCUUUACUACAGCUUUACAUUGAAUACGGUUUCAACAUGUGUAGCAUAGGUGGGAGACGUUGAAGCAGAUACGCCAGUAUUUGUGGAGUCACCAAGUGAAAUACCACCCUUGUUGUGAUUGUGUUCUCACGCUGACCGUUAUCCGGUUAGCGGACCGUGUAUGGUGGGUAGUUUAACUGGGGCGGUUGCCUCCUAAAGAGUAGCGGAGGCGUUCAAAGGU
RNAcentral lists this ribosomal RNA (1584 nucleotides) under human oral metagenome. RNAcentral's name for it is "bacterial LSU rRNA". It matches the Rfam family "Bacterial large subunit ribosomal RNA", at positions 810 to 2317 of the family's 2925-position model. The record is from RNAcentral.